GACGAACGCUGGCGGCGUGCUUAACACAUGCAAGUCGAACGGAAAGGCCCUGCUUUUGUGGGGUGCUCGAGUGGCGAACGGGUGAGUAACACGUGAGUAACCUGCCCUUGACUUUGGGAUAACUUCAGGAAACUGAGGCUAAUACCGGAUAGGAGCUCCUGCUGCAUGGUGGGGGUUGGAAAGUUUCGGCGGUUGGGGAUGGACUCGCGGCUUAUCAGCUUGUUGGUGGGGUAGUGGCUUACCAAGGCUUUGACGGGUAGCCGGCCUGAGGGGGUGACCGGCCACAUUGGGACUGAGAUACGGCCCAGACUCCUACGGGAGGCAGCAGUGGGGAAUAUUGCACAAUGGGCGGAAGCCUGAUGCAGCAACGCCGCGUGCGGGAUGACGGCCUUCGGGUUGUAAACCGCUUUCGCCUGUGACGAAGCGUGAGUGACGGUAAUGGGUAAAGAAGCACCGGCUAACUACGUG
This 468-nucleotide ribosomal RNA is filed under the name uncultured bacterium. Its description in RNAcentral is "partial 16S ribosomal RNA". It matches the Rfam family "Bacterial small subunit ribosomal RNA", at positions 28 to 507 of the family's 1533-position model. The record is from RNAcentral.